Molecule: ribosomal RNA, 307 nt
Filed under: uncultured eukaryote
Lineage: Eukaryota
Description: partial 18S ribosomal RNA
Rfam family: Eukaryotic small subunit ribosomal RNA
Source: RNAcentral
CCCUUAGACGUUCUGGGCCGCACGCGCGCUACACUGACGAAGGCAACGAGCUUUCCGUUACCGAAAGGUACGGGUAAUCUUUUGAAACUUCGUCGUGCUGGGGAUAGAUCCUUGCAAUUUUUGAUCUUAAACGAGGAAUGCCUAGUAAGCGCAAGUCAUCAACUUGCGUUGAUUACGUCCCUGCCCUUUGUACACACCGCCCGUCGCUACUACCGAUUGAAUGGUUUAGUGAGGCCUUCGGAUCCGCGACUCGUUUGUGGAGAAGUUGGACAAACUCAGUCAUUUAGAGGAAGUAAAAGUCGUAACA